Molecule: ribosomal RNA, 468 nt
Filed under: uncultured bacterium
Lineage: Bacteria
Description: partial 16S ribosomal RNA
Rfam family: Bacterial small subunit ribosomal RNA
Source: RNAcentral
GACGAACGCUGGCGGCGUGCUUAACACAUGCAAGUCGAACGGUGAAGCUCCAGCUUGCUGGAGUGGAUCAGUGGCGAACGGGUGAGUAACACGUGAGCAACCUGCCCCUGACUCUGGAAUAAGCGCUGGAAACGGCGUCUAAUACUGGAUACGAGAAGGGUCCGCAUGGGCACUUUCUGGAAAGUUUUUCGGUUGGGGAUGGGCUCGCGGCCUAUCAGCUUGUUGGUGAGGUAAUGGCUCACCAAGGCGACGACGGGUAGCCGGCCUGGGAGGGCGACCGGCCACACUAGGACUGAGGCACGGCCCAGACUCCUACGGGAGGCAGCAGUGGGGAAUAUUGCACAAUGGGCGAAAGCCUGAUGCAGCGACGCCGCGUGAGGGAUGACGGCCUUCGGGUUGUAAACCUCUUUCAGCAGGGAAGAAGCGAAAGUGACGGUACCUGCAGAAGAAGCACCGGCUAACUACGUG